This 330-nucleotide ribosomal RNA is filed under the name Candidatus Roizmanbacteria bacterium RIFCSPHIGHO2_01_FULL_38_15. Its description in RNAcentral is "bacterial SSU rRNA". It matches the Rfam family "Bacterial small subunit ribosomal RNA", at positions 1 to 338 of the family's 1533-position model. Lineage: Bacteria; Candidatus Roizmaniibacteriota. The record is from RNAcentral.
UUUAAGAGUUUGAUCCUGGCUCAGGAUGAACGCUGGCGGUGUGCCUGAGAUAUGCAAGUCGAGCGGGUUCUAGACGCAAGUCUGGGAUCAGCGGCGGACGGCUGAGUAACACGUAGGAACUUCCCCCUAGGCAAGGAAUAGCUCACCGAAAGGUGGGGUAAUUCUUUAUAGUUCCCGCCUCUGGCGGGAUAAAGAGCUUAACUGCUCACCAAGGGAUGGUCCUGCGGCCUAUCAGGUAGUUGGUGGGGUAAUGGCCCACCAAGCCGAUGACGGGUAGCUGGCCUCAUGAGGGUGGUCAGCCAGAGGGGGACUGCGACACGGCCCCCACUC